CGUAAGGGAUGGUAGGGGAGCGUUCCAAGCAGCAGUGAAGCGGUAUCGUGAGGAGCCGUGGAGCGCUUGGAAGUGAGAAUGCCGGUGUGAGUAGCGAAAAGAGGGGUGAGAAUCCCCUCCGUCGAAAGCCCAAGGUUUCCUGAGGAAGGCUCGUCCGCUCAGGGUUAGUCUGGACCUAAGCCGAGGCCGAAAGGCGUAGGCGAUGGACAACAGGUUGAUAUUCCUGUACCGCCGUACCACCGUUUGAACGAUGGGGGGACGCAGAAGGAUAAGGUAACCGUGCGACUGGAAGUGCACGGACAAGCAGCGAGGCCGUCGGGUUGGCAAAUCCGCCCGGCAUACAAGGUCGAGCUGUGACGUGGAGCCCGUAGGGCGAAGUACCGGAUUUCACGCUGCCAAGAAAAGCCUCUAGUAAGGAGGUCGGCGCCAGUACCGUAAACCGACACAGGUAGGCGAGAUGAGAAUUCUAAGACGCGCGGGAUAAC
This 485-nucleotide ribosomal RNA is filed under the name Streptococcus pneumoniae. Its description in RNAcentral is "partial 23S ribosomal RNA". It matches the Rfam family "Bacterial large subunit ribosomal RNA", at positions 1217 to 1699 of the family's 2925-position model. Lineage: Bacteria; Bacillati; Bacillota; Bacilli; Lactobacillales; Streptococcaceae. The record is from RNAcentral.